Molecule: ribosomal RNA, 451 nt
Filed under: uncultured bacterium
Lineage: Bacteria
Description: bacterial SSU rRNA
Rfam family: Bacterial small subunit ribosomal RNA
Source: RNAcentral
GUGGGGAAUUUUGCACAAUGGGCGAAAGCCUGAUGCAGCAACGCCGCGUGAGUGAAGAAGGCCCUUGGGUCGUAAAGCUCUUUCGGCUGGGGAGAAGGCUAUUAAGGUGAACAAUCUUAGUAGCUGACGGUACCAGAAUAAGAAGCACCGGCUAACUCCGUGCCAGCAGCCGCGGUAAUACGGAGGGUGCGAGCGUUGUUCGGAAUUACUGGGCGUAAAGCGCACGUAGGCGGGUUUUUAAGUCGAUUGUGAAAGCCCAGGGCUCAACCUUGGAAUUGCAGUCGAAACUGGAAGUCUUGAAUACCUGAGGGGAUAGUGGAAUUCCCGGUGUAGAAGUGAAAUUCGUAGAUAUCGGGAGGAACACCAGUGGCGAAGGCGGCUAUCUGGCAGUGUAUUGACGCUAAGGUGCGAAAGCGUGGGGAUCAAACAGGAUUAGAAACCCCAGUAGUCC